This 428-nucleotide ribosomal RNA is filed under the name Bacteroidota bacterium. RNAcentral describes it as "Bacteroidetes bacterium partial 16S ribosomal RNA". It matches the Rfam family "Bacterial small subunit ribosomal RNA", at positions 355 to 776 of the family's 1533-position model. The record is from RNAcentral. Lineage: Bacteria; Pseudomonadati; Bacteroidota.
UAGGGAAUCUUCGGCAAUGGGGGGAACCCUGACCGAGCAACGCCGCGUGAGUGAAGAAGGUUUUCGGAUCGUAAAGCUCUGUUGUUAAGGAAGAACGAGUGUGAGAAUGGAAAGUUCAUACUGUGACGGUACUUAACCAGAAAGGGACGGCUAACUACGUGCCAGCAGCCGCGGUAAUACGUAGGUCCCGAGCGUUGUCCGGAUUUAUUGGGCGUAAGCGAGCGCAGGCGGUUAGAUAAGUCUGAAGUUAAAGGCAGUGGCUCAACCAUUGUAGGCUUUGGAAACUGUUUAACUUGAGUGCAGAAGGGGAGAGUGGAAUUCCAUGUGUAGCGGUGAAAUGCGUAGAUAUAUGGAGGAACACCGGUGGCGAAAGCGGCUCUCUGGUCUGUAACUGACGCUGAGGCUCGAAAGCGUGGGGAGCGAACAGG